Molecule: ribosomal RNA, 119 nt
Organism: Cavia porcellus (domestic guinea pig)
Lineage: Eukaryota; Metazoa; Chordata; Mammalia; Rodentia; Caviidae
Source: Ensembl
GCCUCCAGCCAUACCACCCUGGAUGUGCCCGGUCUCAUCUGAUGUCAGAAGCUAAGCAGGGUCAGGCCUGGUUAGUACUUGGAUGGGAGAUCCUUGGACAGGACACACGACUAGAGGAA